CAGCCGCCGCGGGAAUACGAAGGGUGCAAGCGUUAAUCGGAAUUACUGGGCGUAAAGCGUCUGUAGGUGGCUUUUCAAGUCCGCCGUCAAAUCCCAGGGCUCAACCCUGGACAGGCGGUGGAAACUACCAAGCUGGAGUACGGUAGGGGCAGAGGGAAUUUCCGGUGGGGCGGUGAAAUGCGUUGAGAUCGGAAAGAACACCAACGGCGAUAGCACUCUGCUGGGCCGACACUGACACUGAGAGACGAAAGCUAGGGGAGCAAAUGGGAUUAGAUACCCCAGUAGUCCCUGUCUCUUAUAC
This 301-nucleotide ribosomal RNA is filed under the name uncultured bacterium. Its description in RNAcentral is "partial 16S ribosomal RNA". It matches the Rfam family "Bacterial small subunit ribosomal RNA", at positions 509 to 807 of the family's 1533-position model. The record is from RNAcentral.